GAUGAAGAACGUAGCGAAAUGCGAUAAGUAGUGUGAAUUGCAGAAUUCAGUGAAUCAUCGAAUCUUUGAACGCACAUUGCGCCCCUUGGUAUUCCGAGGGGCAUGCCUGUUCGAGCGUCAUUAUAACCCCUCAAGCUCAGCUUGGUGUUGGGGCCUGCUGCACUGGCAGCCCUUAAAAUCAGUGGCGGCGCCAUCUGGCUCUAAGCGUAGUAAUUCUUCUCGCUAUGGAGUCCUGGUGGAUGCUUGCCAUCAACCCCAAAUUUUUCUAUGGUUGACCUCGGAUCAGGUAGGGAUACCCGCUGAACUUAAGCAUAUCAAUAAGCGGAGGA
This 329-nucleotide unclassified non-coding RNA is filed under the name soil metagenome. Its description in RNAcentral is "partial contains 5.8S ribosomal RNA, internal transcribed spacer 2, and large subunit ribosomal RNA". The stretch from base 1 to 120 matches the Rfam family "5.8S ribosomal RNA", at positions 35 to 154 of the family's 154-position model. The record is from RNAcentral.